UACGUAGGGGGCAAGCGUUGUUCGGAAUUACUGGGCGUAAAGGGCGUACAGGCGGUUAUAUAAGUCAGAUGUGAAAUCCUUAGGCUUAACCUAAGACUUGCAUUUGAUACUGCAUAACUUGAGAUCAGGAGAGGAGAGUGGAAUAUGUGGUGUAGCGGUGAAAUGCGUAGAGAUCACAUAGAACACCGGUGGCGAAGGCGGCUCUCUGGCCUGAUUCUGACGCUGACGCGCGAAAGCUAGGGUAGCGAACGGGAUUAGAUACCCCCGUA
Molecule: ribosomal RNA, 269 nt
Filed under: uncultured prokaryote
Description: partial 16S ribosomal RNA
Rfam family: Bacterial small subunit ribosomal RNA
Source: RNAcentral